CUGUGAGAUUACAUAUGCAUAUAGUGUUAAUGCUAUAAGAGUGUAGUAUCUACUCACAAAGUUAUCAGGUUAAAUAGUUUUAUCAACUAAUAAAAAUGUUAUUGCAUAACUAAUGUUAUACUGUAGCCCUGCCACGAUAUCCAGCGAAAAUUAUUUUGCUGAGUAUCGUAGUAAAAGUUAAGAUAUGAUGUUGAGAAUUUUUUUGAGUCGUGCAACAACAUUAACAGCAAACUAUAAUACAAAUCUAUCUUUUUAAAAGUUUGUAU
Molecule: unclassified non-coding RNA, 266 nt
Filed under: Rickettsia sp. BJ-90
Lineage: Bacteria; Pseudomonadati; Pseudomonadota; Alphaproteobacteria; Rickettsiales; Rickettsiaceae
Source: RNAcentral